This 74-nucleotide transfer RNA is filed under the name Treponema sp. RNAcentral describes it as "tRNA-Arg". It matches the Rfam family "tRNA". From Rfam's summary of the family: Transfer RNA (tRNA) molecules are approximately 80 nucleotides in length. Lineage: Bacteria; Pseudomonadati; Spirochaetota; Spirochaetia; Treponematales; Treponemataceae. The record is from RNAcentral.
GCGACACUAGCUCAUCCGGACAGAGCAUCAGCCUUCUAAGCUGAGGGUGGGCCGUUCGAGUCGGCCGUGUCGCA